CAGACUAGCGAGAAGAAUGCGUGUGUUUAUGUUGCUUGUCUUGCUGGUGGUGGUGACAGUGAGCGUGGUGUUGGGGAUGAACCCAGAGCAUCACAGGGAUACCAGGAGUCCCCACUUGCUCCGCCUGAUCAAAGGAUUGAAAGUGAAGGCCCUGGGUAAAAAAUUUCUACUAGGAUGACGGCAGCUGAUGUGCGUCGUCGACUUCAGGAGUACUGAGAAGCAAUUCUGCUCUAACUCUCGUGUUUCCCAUGUACAUAACUGGCAAAAAAUUCCUGUGUUACUCUGAUAUAUAUUAAGACUUAUAGCAAUAAAUACAAUUAUUU
Cherax quadricarinatus is the source of this 323-nucleotide long non-coding RNA. RefSeq lists it as uncharacterized. NCBI's taxonomy places the organism in Eukaryota, Metazoa, Arthropoda, Malacostraca, Decapoda, Parastacidae. The record is from RefSeq and is a predicted model, not a curated record.